ACUCAAAUGAAUUGACGGGGGCCCGCACAAGCGGCGGAGCAUGCGGAUUAAUUCGAUGCAACGCGAAGAACCUUACCAAGGCUUGACAUAUACGAGAACGCCGCAGAGAUGCGGAACUCUUUGGACACUCGUAUACAGGUGGUGCAUGGUUGUCGUCAGCUCGUGUCGUGAGAUGUUGGGUUAAGUCCCGCAACGAGCGCAACCCUCGUCGUAUGUUGCCAGCACGUGAUGGUGGGAACUCAUAUGAGACUGCCGGGGUCAACUCGGAGGAAGGUGGGGAUGACGUCAAAUCAUCAUGCCCCUUAUGUCUUGGGCUUCACGCAUGCUACAAUGGCCGGUACAAAGGGCUGCGAUGUCGUAAGGCGGAGCGAAUCCCAAAAAGCCGGUCUCAGUUCGGAUUGAGGUCUGCAACUCGACCUCAUGAAGUCGGAGUCGCUAGUAAUCGCAGAUCAGCAACGCUGCGGUGAAUACGUUCCCGGGCCUUGUACACACCGCCCGU
RNAcentral lists this ribosomal RNA (499 nucleotides) under uncultured bacterium. Its description in RNAcentral is "partial 16S ribosomal RNA". It matches the Rfam family "Bacterial small subunit ribosomal RNA", at positions 899 to 1397 of the family's 1533-position model. The record is from RNAcentral.